UUUUCUCAAGGAAGAAGACCUGACGGUACUUGAGGAAUAAGCCACGGCUAAUUCCGUGCCAGCAGCCGCGGUAAUACGGGAGUGGCAAGCGUUAUCCGGAAUUAUUGGGCGUAAAGUGUCCGCAGGCGGCCCUGUAAGUCUGUCGUUAAAGCGUGGAGCUUAACUCCGUUUAAGCGAUGGAAACUACAGGGCUUGAGUGUGGUAGGGGCAGAGGGAAUUCCCGGUGUAGCGGUGAAAUGCGUAGAUAUCGGGAAGAACACCAGUGGCGAAGGCGCUCUGCUGGGCCAUAACUGACGCUCAUGGACGAAAGCCAGGGGAGCGAAAGGGAUUAGAUACCCCUGUAGUCCUGGCCGUAAACGAUGAACACUAGGUGUCGGGGGAAUCGACCCCCUCGGUGUCGUAGCCAACGCGUUAAGUGUUCCGCCUGGGGAGUACGCACGCAAGUGUGAAACUCAAAGGAAUUGACGGGGGCCCGCACAAGCGGUGGAGUAUGUGGUUUAAUUCGAUGCAACGCGAAGAACCUUACCAGGGUUUGACAUCCUGCGAAUCCCUUGGAAACGAGGGAGUGCCUUCGGGAACGCAGUGACAGGUGGUGCAUGGCUGUCGUCAGCUCGUGUCGUGAGAUGUUGGGUUAAGUCCCGCAACGAGCGCAACCCACGUCGUUAGUUGCCAGCAUUCAGUUGGGCACUCUAGCGAGACCGCCGGUGAUAAACCGGAGGAAGGUGUGGAUGACGUCAAGUCAUCAUGCCCCUUACAUCCUGGGCUACACACGUACUACAAUGCUACGGACAAAGGGCCGCAAGCUCGCGAGAGUUAGCAAAUCCCAUAAACCGUGGCUCAGUUCAGAUCGUAGGCUGCAACUCGCCUACGUGAAGGAGGAAUCGCUAGUAAUCGCAGGUCAGCAUACUGCGGUGAAUACGUUCCCGGGCCUUGUACACACCGCCCGUCACACCAUGG
RNAcentral lists this ribosomal RNA (957 nucleotides) under uncultured cyanobacterium. Its description in RNAcentral is "bacterial SSU rRNA". It matches the Rfam family "Bacterial small subunit ribosomal RNA", at positions 434 to 1407 of the family's 1533-position model. Lineage: Bacteria; Bacillati; Cyanobacteriota. The record is from RNAcentral.